UAUUGUACCGGAUCGCGCCAGCGAUAUUAUCGGUCCGCCUAGCGAAUUAUUGUCGACGUCGCGACUUUUUUCGGCCGCGAGUUCAGCACGUACCAGCCACGUGAUCCGACCUUCUCCUUUGACCGAAGGCUCAGCCAGACAAUAUAUCGAGGGAAUGGUGGAUCGCGCGUUCGCGAGCGGAGCUUGAUCGCUGCGAGUUCACGAUAUCUCCGUCGCGACAAGAUUUCCGUCGUGUUAGGAACUCACAUCGAGUUCCAGAAGAAGAUUUCCGUCGCGGUUCGCGCGCAGCUGUGACUAUCAAGCGUCAAGAUUUCCGACCGUUCCGUUUCAUUUUACGCCACCGUUCCGACCUCAAACUCAGCUGUUAAGUGUAAUAAAGUUUAUCUGGUGGUUCUCAACGGUCGCAAAUAGGUGCUCAACUCAUUACAUAAAGUCGCAAAAUACACGUCACUACAACGUUUCUAUCACCAAGAAUUUGGCCGUUAGUUACGUGACAGUGACGUGGCAGUUACGUUUUAAACACCAGUUGAGACGUCGCUGCAGCGUUACGUGUGACGAGUUAGCACGUCAUAGUGACGUUUUUAACACGUGUCUGUGCUGGCAGGGACGUUCAGGAAAACGUGACGAUUUCUCGUCCUGGAAUGCGACCGAUUAUGAGUGCCAAUCAUGAAAAAGCGUUGGUGAAUUAUGUUUUACAUGCAUCGGACAUUUAUUUCGGACUCUCGCCAAAGGAUUAAGUUCCCCAGUCAGAAAUAUCUCGUCGAUCGACGUCGAAACGACGUCGUAUGGACAUCGAAACCGUCAUAUUGACGUCGUUCGACGUCGUUUCGACAUCGAGUUGACGAGUCAUUUCUGACUGGGUCGUAAAUUAGCUUACGAAUACGGAAAACGUCUUGACUUGUCAGUGCCGCCUUCCUGGGACGAACGACAACUCGCUGGAGAGGACUGGUUUUCAAAAUUUUUGAAACGCCAUCCGUCUCUUUCAAUUCGAAAACCGCAAUAUUAUUUUUUUUUACAGUAAAUUUCACAGAAAAAGCAAAAAGUGACUACUAGAAGUUAAAUGAUAUUACAUUGAUAACAGCCCCGGUGGUCGAGCUGGCUAAGACGCCCGUCACGGAUU
Vollenhovia emeryi is the source of this 1120-nucleotide long non-coding RNA. RefSeq lists it as uncharacterized. The transcript has 3 exons. The record is from RefSeq and is a predicted model, not a curated record. NCBI's taxonomy places the organism in Eukaryota, Metazoa, Arthropoda, Insecta, Hymenoptera, Formicidae.